CAGUCGCCGCGGUAAUACGUAGGUGGCAAGCGUUGUCCGGAAUUAUUGGGCGUAAAGGGCUCGCAGGCGGUUUCUUAAGUCUGAUGUGAAAGCCCCCGGCUCAACCGGGGAGGGUCAUUGGAAACUGGGAAACUUGAGUGCAGAAGAGGAGAGUGGAAUUCCACGUGUAGCGGUGAAAUGCGUAGAGAUGUGGAGGAACACCAGUGGCGAAGGCGACUCUCUGGCCUGUAACUGACGCUGAGGAGCGAAAGCGUGGGGAGCGAACAGGAUUAGAUACCCGCGUAGUCCCUGUCUCUUAUAA
Molecule: ribosomal RNA, 301 nt
Filed under: uncultured bacterium
Lineage: Bacteria
Description: partial 16S ribosomal RNA
Rfam family: Bacterial small subunit ribosomal RNA
Source: RNAcentral